UCUCCGUUGGUGAACCAGCGGAGGGAUCAUUACCGAAGUUACCUUCAAAACCCACUGUGAACCUUACCUCUUGCCGCGUUGUCUCGGCGGGAGGCGGUGUGCGUCGCGCGCCCUAGCGGGCCGCGCCGCUCCCGUCCCCGCCGGCAGCGCCAAACUCUAAAUGCACAGCGGACUGUACGUUCUGAUUUACAAAGAAAACAAGUUAAAACUUUCAACAACGGAUCUCUUGGUUCUG
Molecule: unclassified non-coding RNA, 235 nt
Filed under: plant metagenome
Description: partial contains small subunit ribosomal RNA, internal transcribed spacer 1, and 5.8S ribosomal RNA
Source: RNAcentral